Molecule: ribosomal RNA, 515 nt
Filed under: uncultured bacterium
Lineage: Bacteria
Description: bacterial SSU rRNA
Rfam family: Bacterial small subunit ribosomal RNA
Source: RNAcentral
GAUUCUGGCUCAGGAUGAACGCUAGCUACAGGCUUAACACAUGCAAGUCGAGGGGCAGCAUGAUCGAAGCUUGCUUUGAUUGAUGGCGACCGGCGCACGGGUGAGUAACGCGUAUCCAACCUUCCCUAUAGUAGAGAAUAGCCCGGCGAAAGUCGGAUUAAUGCUCUAUGUUGUAUUUAGAAGACAUCUGAAGAAUACCAAAGGUUUACCGCUAUAGGAUGGGGAUGCGUCUGAUUAGGUAGUAGGCGGGGUAACGGCCCACCUAGCCGACGAUCAGUAGGGGUUCUGAGAGGAAGGUCCCCCACAUUGGAACUGAGACACGGUCCAAACUCCUACGGGAGGCAGCAGUGAGGAAUAUUGGUCAAUGGACGGAAGUCUGAACCAGCCAAGUAAGCGUGCAGGAUGACGGCCCUAUGGGUUGUAAACUGCUUUUAUAUAGGGAUAAAGUCGGGGACGUGUCCCCGUUUGUAGGUACUAUAUGAAUAAGGACCGGCUAAUUCCGUGCCAGCCGCCGC